AAAAUUUUCAUUUUACUCAAAUGAGACCUUAUUUCAGAAAGCACAGUGGAGAAUGUAUUAGCAAAAACUAUACAGUCCUAUUUGCUAUUUUGCUUCAAAUCCUCUUGGUUUCUCUCAACUUUUGGAUUCAAAUAAAUUAAUGCCACCAUCUAAUUACAUAGAAUCUAGACCAUUUAAUUUACAAUAAGUGCUUAAAAGAACUAGAAC
This 207-nucleotide long non-coding RNA is filed under the name Olea europaea (common olive). RNAcentral describes it as "long non-coding RNA (OEUR_LNC011451)". The record is from RNAcentral. Lineage: Eukaryota; Viridiplantae; Streptophyta; Magnoliopsida; Lamiales; Oleaceae.